UUUCUUUAUUUUCUCUUUUUUUGUUUGGAAUGAAUGCACUCAUAUGUAUAAUGUGUCGGAUCGUUGGCGCUAACCAUUAAUCUCAAAAAUUCAAGUUGUUAGAAAUAUACAACCAAUUCACUUAAAGCGUAUAGAUACAGCGCCCACGGAUCUCAAUUAUGACUCGGCCCACUUAGCCUCACGUCACUUCGAAUAUAACUCGGCCCACCCAACCUAACGUCAUUUCAAACAUGACUUGGCCUAACAUGACCUCCCGCCACAGGACAGACAGUAUGCUGGCUCAUUUAAGCCAACAUAAUGGUUUCGCAAAAACAAAAAAAAUUUCUCGAA
RNAcentral lists this long non-coding RNA (330 nucleotides) under Ananas comosus (pineapple). RNAcentral describes it as "long non-coding RNA (ACOM_LNC004489)". Lineage: Eukaryota; Viridiplantae; Streptophyta; Magnoliopsida; Poales; Bromeliaceae. The record is from RNAcentral.